Molecule: long non-coding RNA, 307 nt
Filed under: Panax ginseng (ginseng)
Lineage: Eukaryota; Viridiplantae; Streptophyta; Magnoliopsida; Apiales; Araliaceae
Description: long non-coding RNA (PGIN_LNC000652)
Source: RNAcentral
GUUCACAUUACUAGACACUUAUUCUCGUCAUUAAAUAAAUAAAAAAAAUUUAUACGCAAAAUUUCUUAAUUAUUUUUAUAGAAUAUAUCGGGUUGUCACAUUCACCCUCCCUUAUAAGGAUUCCGUCCCCGGAAUCACCGCUUUAAAACUCAUACGUAGAAGGGUACAUAGUAUAUAAUCAUUGUACGUAGAUCUCGAUCAUACGUGAUCGAACUGAUCUUUAACUAUUCUCCAUAACGCUUGUCUAUCUGAUAAACAGAAAUUUGAUUUCUAAAAGAACUCAAAUUCCUUCCUCAAAAUUUCUUUA